AUGUUAUGUCAUGCUUUGACAUCACUAAAGGAAUUUGUGAGAUCUCUUCCAUGGUAUGUUGGUUUUGGUGGAGUCAAUGGAGAAAAUAAAUUACAUUGGGUUGCUUGGGACAGAUUAUCUAAGCCGAAGAAGGAUGGAGGUUUAGGUUUUAGAGAUCUUUAUUUCUUUAAUAUUGCUAUGCUAGCAAGGCAAGCCUGGAGGAUCCUUCUAACUCCCGAGUCCCUUUGCGCUCAACUUCUCAAGGCGAGAUACUUUACUGUAUGA
This 264-nucleotide ribosomal RNA is filed under the name Triticum aestivum (bread wheat). RNAcentral's name for it is "partial small subunit ribosomal RNA". The record is from RNAcentral. Lineage: Eukaryota; Viridiplantae; Streptophyta; Magnoliopsida; Poales; Poaceae.